GACGAACGCUGGCGGCGUGCCUAAUACAUGCAAGUCGAACGCUUCUUUCCUCCCGAGUGCUUGCACUCAAUUGGAAAGAGGAGUGGCGGACGGGUGAGUAACACGUGGGUAACCUACCCAUCAGAGGGGGAUAACACUUGGAAACAGGUGCUAAUACCGCAUAACAGUUUAUGCCGCAUGGCAUAAGGGUGAAAGGCGCUUUCGGGUGUCGUUGAUGGAUGGACCCGCGGUGCAUUAGCUAGUUGGUGAGGUAACGGCUCACCAAGGCCACGAUGCAUAGCCGACCUGAGAGGGUGAUCGGCCACACUGGGACUGAGACACGGCCCAGACUCCUACGGGAGGCAGCAGUAGGGAAUCUUCGGCAAUGGACGAAAGUCUGACCGAGCAACGCCGCGUGAGUGAAGAAGGUUUUCGGAUCGUAAAACUCUGUUGUUAGAGAAGAACAAGGACGUUAGUAACUGAACGUCCCCUGACGGUAUCUAACCAGAAAGCCACGGCUAACUACGUG
This 508-nucleotide ribosomal RNA is filed under the name uncultured bacterium. RNAcentral describes it as "partial 16S ribosomal RNA". It matches the Rfam family "Bacterial small subunit ribosomal RNA", at positions 28 to 507 of the family's 1533-position model. The record is from RNAcentral.